UACGGAGGUCUCAAGCGUUGUUCGGAUUCAUUGGGCGUAAAGGGUGCGUAGGUGGUGGGGUAAGUCGGAUGUGAAAUCCCGGGGCUCAACCCCGGAACUGCAUUCGAUACUGCCUUGCUCGAGUACUGGAGAGGAGACUGGAAUUUACGGUGUAGCAGUGAAAUGCGUAGAUAUCGUAAGGAAGACCAGUGGCGAAGGCGAGUCUCUGGACAGUUACUGACACUGAGGCACGAAGGCCAGGGGAGCAAACGGG
Molecule: ribosomal RNA, 253 nt
Filed under: uncultured bacterium
Lineage: Bacteria
Description: partial 16S ribosomal RNA
Rfam family: Bacterial small subunit ribosomal RNA
Source: RNAcentral